RNAcentral lists this ribosomal RNA (485 nucleotides) under uncultured bacterium. Its description in RNAcentral is "bacterial SSU rRNA". It matches the Rfam family "Bacterial small subunit ribosomal RNA", at positions 28 to 511 of the family's 1533-position model. The record is from RNAcentral.
GACGAACGCUGGCGGCGUGCUUAAUACAUGCAAGUCAACUGAACUUAGGAUAGCAAUAUUUUAAGGGAGGUGGCGCACGGGUGAGUAACACGUAGGUAAUCUGCCUUUAGGUCUGACAUAACCUACCGAAAGGUAGGCUAAAAUCAGAUGAUGCAGCGGCUCGACAUCGAGACAGUUGUUAAAUCUUCGGAGCCUAAAGAUGAGCCUGCGUCUGAUUAGGUAGUUGGCGGUGUAAUGGACCACCAAGCCUGCGAUCAGUAGCUGGUCUGAGAGGAUGAUCAGCCACACUGGAACUGAGACACGGUCCAGACUCCUACGGGAGGCAGCAGUAAGGAAUAUUGCUCAAUGGCCGAAAAGGCUGAAGCAGCAACGCCGCGUGGAGGAUGAAAUACUUUUGUAUGUAAACUCCUGUAAGAAGGGAAAAAUAUGCAGUUUUUCUGCAUUGAUUGACCUUCAAGAGUAAGCCCCGGCUAACUACGUGCCAG